AGCCCUUCAGCAAAGUUGGUGAGAGUGUGGGGCUGAUAACGCCAAGGUUGCAGGUUCGAUUCCCGUAAGGGAUA
Molecule: non-coding RNA, 74 nt
Organism: Podarcis lilfordi (Lilford's wall lizard)
Lineage: Eukaryota; Metazoa; Chordata; Lepidosauria; Squamata; Lacertidae
Source: the annotation of a GenBank genome assembly